CUCGUACGAUUAUUGCAGUUAAGCAACGUCGAACCUGGUUAGUACUUAGAUGGGUGAUCGCUUGGGAAUACCAGGUGCUGUAAG
Molecule: non-coding RNA, 84 nt
Organism: Acanthosepion pharaonis
Lineage: Eukaryota; Metazoa; Mollusca; Cephalopoda; Sepiida; Sepiidae
Source: the annotation of a GenBank genome assembly